GCGGAAAAAAGAAAAAAGAAGAGACAGCGGUAUGAUGCUCACGCAUCGCUUGCAGGUGUGAAGCCGAACCCCUUCCUCCCCCGUCCCGCGUGGCUCUGUGCACGUAACACCUGCCUGCCGCUUCACAGCGGUACAAGAUGUUCUCUCAACAAGAUGUUCUGCAAAAGAGGAACAACCACUUUCACUUUCUGUUGCUGCUGAAAAAAAGUGAUAGAUGUUUGGAAUAACAUGAGGGUAAGUAAAUGAUGACAGUUUUUUCAUUUUUGGGCAGACUAUCCUUUUUAAAGUUUAUCACGUUCUAUCAACUUGCAUUUAUAUUUUGUGCUGAUUUCUCUUGAAGUAAGGAUUGCUUACUUUUUUUCUUUUUUUACAUAUUACUGAAACUGGUAUUCUGAGCAAUCACAAUGACCUCUGUUACAUCACUUUAAAAAAAUGGAUUUGCUGACGUGUCUGUGUAAAGUGUG
Molecule: long non-coding RNA, 464 nt
Organism: Cyprinus carpio carpio
Lineage: Eukaryota; Metazoa; Chordata; Actinopteri; Cypriniformes; Cyprinidae
Source: Ensembl